AACGUACGCUGGCGGCACGCCUAACACAUGCAAGUCGAACGAAGUAGCAAUACUUAGUGGCAGACGGGUGAGUAACAUGUAGGUAUCUACCCUUUGGCCUGGAAUAACACGAGGAAACUUGUGCUAAUACCGGAUAAGUCUUUACGGAGAAAGCUUUAUGCACCAUUGGAUGAGCCCGCACUUGAUUAGUUUGUUGGUGGGGUAAUGGCCUACCAAGACUGUGAUCAAUAGCUGAUUUGAGAGGAUGAUCAGCCACAUUGGGACUGAGACACGGCCCAAACUCCUACGGGAGGCAGCAGUGGGGAAUCUUGCACAAUGGAGGAAACUCUGAUGCAGCGAUGCCGCGUGAGUGAAGAAGGCCCUUGGGUUGUAAAGCUCUUUCGUCGGGGAAGAAAAUGACUGUACCCGAAUAAGAAGGUCCGGCUAACUUCGUGCCAGCAGCCGCGGUAAUACGAAGGGACCUAGCGUAGUUCGGAAUUACUGGGCUUAAAGAGUUCGUAGGUGGUUAAAAAAGUUAGUGGUGAAAUCCCAGAGCUUAACUCUGGAACUGCCAUUAAAACUUUUCAGCUAGAGUAUGAUAGAGGAAAGCAGAAUUUCUAGUGUAGAGGUGAAAUUCGUAGAUAUUAGAAAGAAUACCAAUUGCGAAGGCAGCUUUCUGGAUCAUUACUGACACUGAGGAACGAAAGCAUGGGUAGCGAAGAGGAUUAGAUACCCUCGUAGUCCAUGCCGUAAACGAUGUGUGUUAGACGUUGGAAAUUUAUUUUCAGUGUCGCAGCGAAAGCGAUAAACACACCGCCUGGGGAGUACGACCGCAAGGUUAAAACUCAAAUGAAUUGACGGGGACCCGCACAAGUAGUGGAGCAUGUGGUUUAAUUCGAAGAUACGCGCAGAACCUUACCAACACUUGACAUGUUCGUCGCGACUCUAAGAGAUUAGAGUUUUCGGUUCGGCCGGACGAAACACAGGUGCUGCAUGGCUGUCGUCAGCUCGUGUCGUGAGAUGUUGGGUUAAGUCCCGCAACGAGCGCAACCCUCACUUUUAGUUGCCAUCAUUAAGUUGGGCACUCUGAAAGAACUGCCAGUGAUAAGCUGGAGGAAGGUGGGGAUGACGUCAAGUCCUCAUGGCCCUUACGUGUUGGGCUACACACGUGCUACAAUGGUAUCUACAACAGGAAGCAAGACUGCGAGGUCAAGCAAAUCCUUAAAAGAUACCUCAGUUCGGAUUGCACUCUGCAACUCGAGUGCAUGAAGCUGGAAUUACUAGUAAUCGUGGAUCAGCGUGCCACGGUGAAUGCGUUCCCGGGUCUUGUACACACCGCCCGUCACACCAUGGGAGUUGGUUCUACCUUAAGGCAAGGUUUCAAACCCUUGACCACGGUAUAGUCAGCGACUGGGGUG
This 1397-nucleotide ribosomal RNA is filed under the name uncultured marine bacterium. RNAcentral's name for it is "bacterial SSU rRNA". It matches the Rfam family "Bacterial small subunit ribosomal RNA". The record is from RNAcentral.